GAUGAAGAACGUAGCGAAAUGCGAUAAGUAAUGCGAAUUGCAGAAUUCCGUGAGUCAUCGAAUCUUUGAACGCACAUUGCGCCCUCUGGUAUUCCGGAGGGCAUGCCUGUCUGAGCGUCAUUGUCAACCCUCAAGCUCAGCUUGCUGUUGGGUCCCCGUCGUUGCUUUAACGGCGGACCCGAAAGGUAAUGGCAGAGUCCGUGAGACCCUAGACGCAGCGAGCUUCUAGCACGCGUCUGGACGUUUUUCGGGCUCGGUCUUAACUAGAUGAUAACUUCCGAUUGACCUCAGAUCAGGUAGGGAUACCCGCUGAACUUAAGCAUAUCAAUAAGAGGAGGA
Molecule: unclassified non-coding RNA, 339 nt
Filed under: soil metagenome
Description: partial contains 5.8S ribosomal RNA, internal transcribed spacer 2, and large subunit ribosomal RNA
Rfam family: 5.8S ribosomal RNA (bases 1-120)
Source: RNAcentral